UUCUUAGUAUGACUAUGUCCCGUGCAAUAUUUGGGAUGUAAUUAUACUAAAA
This 52-nucleotide microRNA precursor is filed under the name Bos taurus (domestic cattle). RNAcentral describes it as "mir-1302 microRNA precursor family". It matches the Rfam family "mir-1302 microRNA precursor family". Lineage: Eukaryota; Metazoa; Chordata; Mammalia; Artiodactyla; Bovidae. The record is from Rfam by way of RNAcentral. RNAcentral also lists the same sequence under 5 other names.